UAAUACGUAGGUGGCAAGCGUUGUCCGGAAUUAUUGGGCGUAAAGCGCGCGCAGGCGGCUUCUUAAGUCUGAUGUGAAAGCCCACGGCUCAACCGUGGAGGGUCAUUGGAAACUGGGAGGCUUGAGUGCAGAAGAGGAGAGCGGAAUUCCACGUGUAGCGGUGAAAUGCGUAGAGAUGUGGAGGAACACCAGUGGCGAAGGCGGCUCUCUGGUCUGUAACUGACGCUGAGGCGCGAAAGCGUGGGUAGCGAACAGGAUUAGAUACCCUGGUAGUCCACGCCGUAAACGAUGAGUGCUAAGUGUUAGAGGGUUUCCGCCCUUUAGUGCUGCAGCAAACGCAUUAAGCACUCCGCCUGGGGAGUACGGCCGCAAGGCUGAA
Molecule: ribosomal RNA, 379 nt
Filed under: uncultured bacterium
Lineage: Bacteria
Description: bacterial SSU rRNA
Rfam family: Bacterial small subunit ribosomal RNA
Source: RNAcentral